RNAcentral lists this transfer RNA (73 nucleotides) under Stegodyphus mimosarum. It matches the Rfam family "tRNA". From Rfam's summary of the family: Transfer RNA (tRNA) molecules are approximately 80 nucleotides in length. Their secondary structure includes four short double-helical elements and three loops (D, anti-codon, and T loops). The record is from Rfam by way of RNAcentral. Lineage: Eukaryota; Metazoa; Arthropoda; Arachnida; Araneae; Eresidae.
GCCUUCGUGAUGUAGUGGUCAGCACGCUCGACGCGUAACCGAGAGGUCCGUGGUUCGAUUCCUGGCGAAGGCG